RNAcentral lists this transfer RNA (90 nucleotides) under Shinella fusca. Its description in RNAcentral is "tRNA-Ser". It matches the Rfam family "tRNA". Rfam says of the family: Transfer RNA (tRNA) molecules are approximately 80 nucleotides in length. Their secondary structure includes four short double-helical elements and three loops (D, anti-codon, and T loops). The record is from RNAcentral. Lineage: Bacteria; Pseudomonadati; Pseudomonadota; Alphaproteobacteria; Hyphomicrobiales; Rhizobiaceae.
GGAGAGGUGGCAGAGAGGUCGAAUGCACCGCACUCGAAAUGCGGCAUACCUGCAAGGGUAUCGUGGGCUCGAAUCCCACCCUUUCCGCCA